This 85-nucleotide transfer RNA is filed under the name Felis catus (domestic cat). It matches the Rfam family "tRNA". Rfam says of the family: Transfer RNA (tRNA) molecules are approximately 80 nucleotides in length. Their secondary structure includes four short double-helical elements and three loops (D, anti-codon, and T loops). RNAcentral also lists the same sequence under 1 other name. Lineage: Eukaryota; Metazoa; Chordata; Mammalia; Carnivora; Felidae. The record is from Rfam by way of RNAcentral.
GCCUCGGUGGCUCAGUCGGUUGAGUGUCCGACUUCAGCUCAGGUCAUGAUCUCGCAGUUUGUGGGUUCGAGCCCCGCUUCAGGCU